AACUUUCGGCAACGGAUCUCUUGGCUCUCGCAUCGAUGAAGAACGCAGCGAAUUGCGAUAAGUAAUGUGAAUUGCAGAUUUCCAGGGAAUCAGCGAACCUUUGAACGCACCUUGCGCUCCUUGGUAUUCCGAGGAGCAUGCCUGUUUGAGUGUCAUAAGAUUCUCAACCAUUCUCUCUUGAUGGAGAGUAUGGCUUGGACUUGGGGGUUGCUGGCAGGACUGUCAGCUCUCCUUAAAUGCAUUAGCAAUCGAGUUGGCUAGUCUUUUGACGUACACGGCCUCGGACGUGAUAAUGAUCGUCGUGGCUGGAGCGUCUUUCCUAGACUAUGUACAUAGAUCGCUUCUAAUCUGUUGUUGUCUAUCGAGCUUAGCUACUAGGCAGUCUUUUUGGCUGGCGAACG
Molecule: unclassified non-coding RNA, 401 nt
Filed under: uncultured Xerocomus
Lineage: Eukaryota; Fungi; Basidiomycota; Agaricomycetes; Boletales; Boletaceae
Description: sequence contains ITS2
Rfam family: 5.8S ribosomal RNA (bases 1-155)
Source: RNAcentral